RNAcentral lists this ribosomal RNA (433 nucleotides) under uncultured bacterium. RNAcentral's name for it is "partial 16S ribosomal RNA". It matches the Rfam family "Bacterial small subunit ribosomal RNA", at positions 29 to 507 of the family's 1533-position model. The record is from RNAcentral.
AACGAACGCUGGCGGCAUGCCUAACACAUGCAAGUCGAACGAGACCUUCGGGUCUAGUGGCGCACGGGUGCGUAACGCGUGGGAACCUGCCCUUAGGUUCGGAAUAACUCCCCGAAAGGGGUGCUAAUACCGGAUAAUGUCUUCGGACCAAAGAUUUAUCGCCUUUGGAUGGGCCCGCGUUGGAUUAGCUAGUUGGUAGGGUAAAAGCCUACCAAGGCGACGAUCCAUAGCUGGUCUGAGAGGAUGAUCAGCCACACUGGGACUGAGACACGGCCCAGACUCCUACGGGAGGCAGCAGUGGGGAAUAUUGAACAAUGGGUGAAAGCCUGAUCCAGCAAUGCCGCGUGAGUGAUGAAGGCCUUAGGGUUGUAAAGCUCUUUUACCCGGGAUGAUAAUGACAGUACCGGGAGAAUAAGCGCCGGCUAACUCCGUG